This 798-nucleotide ribosomal RNA is filed under the name Pustulomyces bambusicola. Its description in RNAcentral is "eukaryotic LSU rRNA". It matches the Rfam family "Eukaryotic large subunit ribosomal RNA", at positions 87 to 917 of the family's 3401-position model. Lineage: Eukaryota; Fungi; Ascomycota; Sordariomycetes; Diaporthales; Diaporthaceae. The record is from RNAcentral.
CGGCGAGUGAAGCGGCAACAGCUCAAAUUUGAAAUCUGGCCUCGGCCCGAGUUGUAAUUUGCAGAGGAUGCUUCUGGCGCGGUGCCUUCCGAGUUCCCUGGAACGGGACGCCACAGAGGGUGAGAGCCCCGUAUGGUCGGACACCAAGCCUGUGUGAAGCUCCUUCGACGAGUCGAGUAGUUUGGGAAUGCUGCUCUAAAUGGGAGGUAAAUCUCUUCUAAAGCUAAAUACCGGCCAGAGACCGAUAGCGCACAAGUAGAGUGAUCGAAAGAUGAAAAGCACCUUGAAAAGGGGGUUAAAUAGUACGUGAAAUUGUUGAAAGGGAAGCACUUGUGGCCAGACUUGGGCCGGGCGGCUCAUCAGGGGUUCUCCCCUGUGCACUCCGCCCGGCACAGGCCAGCAUCGGUUCUCACGGGGGGAUAAGACCGCCGGGAACGUAGCACCCUCCGGGGUGUGUUAUAGCCCGGCGGACGAUACCCCCGCGGGGACCGAGGUCCGCGCUCCGGCAAGGAUGCUGGCGUAAUGGCCACCAGUGACCCGUCUUGAAACACGGACCAAGGAGUCGUCCAUUAGAGCGAGCGUCUGGGUGUAAAACCCGCACGCGUAAUGAAAGUGAACGCAGGUGAGAGCUUCGGCGCAUCAUCGACCGAUCCUGAUGUUCUCGGAAGGAUUUGAGUAAAGUUUUAACGGACGGACCCGAAAGACAGUGAACUAUGCUUGUAUAGGGUGAAGCCAGAGGAAACUCUGGUGGAGGCUCGCAGCGGUUCUGACGUGCAAAUCGAUCGUCAAAUAUGAGCA